Molecule: long non-coding RNA, 1624 nt
Organism: Lagenorhynchus albirostris (white-beaked dolphin)
Lineage: Eukaryota; Metazoa; Chordata; Mammalia; Artiodactyla; Delphinidae
Exons: 2
Source: RefSeq, a predicted model, not a curated record
GUGGGCGCGCGCGGCCGCCCGCCACUCAACACCGAGCCGCCCCCGCAGCCGCUGCCGCCGCUACCCACGCGGCCCUCGCCUUUCAACCUGCAGGCACCGCCUGCGCCGCUAGACCCCUGGCCGCUCGACCCCUGGCCGCUGCCCGCCUUUCCCCCGCCGCUGCCACUGCCGCCCCCGCCUCCGCACUUUUUCCUGUACCCGCCGUGCUGAAGGCCCGGCCCUCCCCGCCCCGGAGGGGCUGCGGGCGGUAAAGGGUUUGGAUGUCAUCGCUAAGAUCUUUCUCUGCUGAAGUUUGUAUGGCUUCUUGGAAACUCAGAACCUGCCUUCCAAGUCUUAAGAAGUCAAACUUUCAGCUGAAAUAGAUCCUGGGGUCCCUUGGGCCUGGGCGCACGGGGAGAACAGCGGUGUUGAUGGACAGUCGAUACUGGGCCUUGGAACAAGAGUGUCACAUGCAAGGGCUCUGAAGUCAUCCCCAAAGGACAGGAAAGCUCCCAGGGUGAGUCAUGAGAGGAAGCCCCUGUUCUCUCCUCAUCCUUACUACCUCCCUUCACCACCCCCACCCCCCUUUCUCCCCAGCAUGUACAACGCAGAAUAAAGUUCCCUUUGUUACUCAGGUGGCUUGGGCUCAAGUAACCAGGCAGACGUCCUAUCUCAGUGGGCUCUUCUACAGCAGCUCAGGAGUGGUAUCAGGAAGCCAAAUUGACCUUGGGAGACCUCUGAGAGCCUGGGACCUGCCAGCAAGAAAGGCAGUGUAUGAGUUUCCUGAGACUGCUGUAGCAAAUCACCACAAACUGGGUGGCUUAAAACAGAAAUUUAGUCUCUCUUGGUUCUAGAAGCUGCAAGUCCAAAAUCAAGGUGUCCCAGGGCCAUACUCCCUCCCAAGGCUCUAGGGGAGGAUCCUUCCUUGACUCUUGCAGCUUCUGGUGGCUCCAGGUGUUCUUUGUUUAUGGCUGCAUCACUCCAAUCUUUGCCUCCAUCUUCAUAUGACCUUCUCCCUUGUAGCUGUGUCUCACAUCUCCCUCUUGUUUUUCUCUUAUGACACCUGUCAUUGGAUAUAGGGCCCACCCUAAGUCCAGAAUGCUCUCAUCUUGAGAUCCUUAAGUACACCUGCAAAGACCCUUUUUUCAAAUAAGGCCAUGCUGACACGUUCCUGGGCUUGGGACUGGACAUAGUGUUGGGGGCCACCAUCCAAUCCAUACAGGCAGUGUGCUCUCCCUUGUGGGGCUGGCCCACCUGCCACGCUGUCUUUCAGCUUCCCUAAAGCCUGUGUUAGGCCCUACCCCUUGCUGAACCUGAGCCUUGGGUGCCCUUGGAGUACUCACGCAGGAUCCAAAGGCGCUAGUGCCUUGAUAAAACUCUCACUGGCACAGGAAAAAAAGUAGACCGACUUUCCCCUUCGCUGAAUUGUGGCCGAGUUCGCAUUCCUGCCAGCUUGCUGCUUCCUCUAUGCUCUUUAUGUCCUGUAGCCCUCCCCACUCUGAGCUGAGAAUCAGACAGUAAACAGGAAGGACAAGACUGAAUGUGGGCUCCUAAAGAAGACAGCACUCUUAGAGCUUCAGAUGGCUAACUGCUGCUGGUUGUAAGCUGACAAUUACGACUGAUAAUAAAGUUGUUACCCAGUCAA